This 27-nucleotide non-coding RNA is filed under the name Mus musculus (house mouse). Lineage: Eukaryota; Metazoa; Chordata; Mammalia; Rodentia; Muridae. The record is from RNAcentral. RNAcentral also lists the same sequence under 1 other name.
UGCGUCCCUUCACACGGCCGUUUAAGG